UGCAUGUGUGUGUGCAUGCAUGCAUGUGUGUGUGCGUGUGUGCAUGUGUGCAUUUGUGUGUGUG
This 64-nucleotide microRNA precursor is filed under the name Dasypus novemcinctus (nine-banded armadillo). RNAcentral's name for it is "miRNA (ENSDNOG00000028562.1)". The record is from RNAcentral. Lineage: Eukaryota; Metazoa; Chordata; Mammalia; Cingulata; Dasypodidae.